UACGGAGGGUGCAAGCGUUAAUCGGAAUGACUGGGCGUAAAGGGUGCGUAGGCGGUUUAGUAAGUUGAGUGUGAAAUCCCCGGGCUUAACCUGGGUAGGUCAUUCAAUACUGCUAGACUGGAGUACAAGAGAGGGUAGUGGAAUUUCCGGUGUAGCGGUGAAAUGCGUAGAGAUCGGAAGGAACACCAGUGGCGAAGGCGGCUACCUGGCUUGAUACUGACGCUGAGGCACGAAAGCAUGGGGAGCAAACAGG
RNAcentral lists this ribosomal RNA (253 nucleotides) under uncultured bacterium. Its description in RNAcentral is "partial 16S ribosomal RNA". It matches the Rfam family "Bacterial small subunit ribosomal RNA", at positions 524 to 776 of the family's 1533-position model. The record is from RNAcentral.